RNAcentral lists this ribosomal RNA (468 nucleotides) under uncultured bacterium. Its description in RNAcentral is "partial 16S ribosomal RNA". It matches the Rfam family "Bacterial small subunit ribosomal RNA", at positions 28 to 507 of the family's 1533-position model. The record is from RNAcentral.
GACGAACGCUGGCGGCGUGCUUAACACAUGCAAGUCGAACGGAAAGGCCCUGCUUUUGUGGGGUGCUCGAGUGGCGAACGGGUGAGUAACACGUGAGUAACCUGCCCUUGACUUUGGGAUAACUUCAUGAUACUGGGUCUAAUACCGGAUAGGAGCUCCUGCUGCAUGGUGGGGGUUGGAACGUUUCGGUGGUUGGUGAUGGACUCGCGGCUUAUCAGCUUGUUGGUGGGGUAGUGGCUUACCAAGGCUUUGACGGGUAGCCGGCCUGAGAGGGUGACCGGCCACAUUGGGACUGAGAUACGGCCCAGACUCCUACGGGAGGCAGCAGUGGGGAAUAUUGCACAAUGGGCGGAAGCCUGAUGCAGCAACGCCGCGUGCGGGAUGACGGCCUUCGGGUUGUAAACCGCUUUCGCCUGUGACGAAGCGUGAGUGACGGUAAUGGGUAAAGAAGCACCGGCUAACUACGUG